AGGAAUCUGCCUAUUAGUGGGGGACAACAUCUCGAAAGGGAUGCUAAUACCGCAUACGUCCUACGGGAGAAAGCAGGGGAUCUUCGGGCCUUGCGCUAAUAGAUGAGCCUAAGUCGGAUUAGCUAGUUGGUGGGGUAAAGGCCUACCAAGGCGACGAUCUGUAGCGGGUCUGAGAGGAUGAUCCGCCACACUGGGACUGAGACACGGCCCAGACUCCUACGGGAGGCAGCAGUGGGGAAUAUUGGACAAUGGGGGGAACCCUGAUCCAGCCAUGCCGCGUGUGUGAAGAAGGCCUUUUGGUUGUAAAGCACUUUAAGCGAGGAGGAGGCUACCGAGAUUAAUACUCUUGGAUAGUGGACGUUACUCGCAGAAUAAGCACCGGCUAACUCUGUGCCAGCAGCCGCGGUAAUACAGAGGGUGCAAGCGUUAAUCGGAUUUACUGGGCGUAAAGCGCGCGUAGGUGGCCAAUUAAGUCAAAUGUGAAAUCCCCGAGCUUAACUUGGGAAUUGCAUUCGAUACUGGUUGGCUAGAGUAUGGGAGAGGAUGGUAGAAUUCCAGGU
Molecule: ribosomal RNA, 560 nt
Filed under: uncultured bacterium
Lineage: Bacteria
Description: bacterial SSU rRNA
Rfam family: Bacterial small subunit ribosomal RNA
Source: RNAcentral